RNAcentral lists this long non-coding RNA (1874 nucleotides) under Nicotiana benthamiana. Its description in RNAcentral is "long non-coding RNA (NBEN_LNC035356)". Lineage: Eukaryota; Viridiplantae; Streptophyta; Magnoliopsida; Solanales; Solanaceae. The record is from RNAcentral.
CAGCAACAUGUAAACUGAUUCAAAUUACAACGUUUGUAGCAGCCCUAGGGACUAAACACGGAUAAAUGAACUGAAAUACCUAAAGCAUUCUGAAAUGAUUAGCGACUUUAAAUUACCAAAAGGCCAUGAUCCAGUUUUAGAAUGAUUGGAAUUUAUGACAUAACUAAACCUUUAACCAAUUUAAACCAAUAACAAAUGUUUUUAAACAACCAUGCCUUAAUUGCAGCAGCCCUAAUAAACUAGUGUGUUUCAAUACUAAUGACUUCUUUGAAUUCGUAAUUUUAAAUUAACACAUGACACAUGAUUAACAAUCCCAAACUAAUUCAAAACUAACACUGCUAAGAACAAUCCUCAGAUGACCGUGAUUUCAAAACUGAACUACUGAAGUUAUUAAUAAAAAAACGUUAUCAUGCCUGGACUCAACAUAAACAGUGGCCGACGUACUGAUUUUCAACUCAGUUUCUAGUUGUUAAUACAAAUGAAGAUCAUAGAUCUCAAAAUCAUAUUCCUGUUCCAGCUAUUCUUCUAAUUUUAGAAGUUAAACUACACAAAACAAAACUAUACUAUAAUAAGGCUAAUGAAUAGUCAUUAAUCUAACAGUCCAAACAGUCCAUUACAAAUACAUUAAUGGCAAUAAAUACAUCAAACAAAUCUUAGAACUACUCGUAGUACAAUAGACUAUUAGAGUAGUAAAAUCUGCAACAGAGAUCAGGCAGCAAUUGCAUUUCAAUUUCACUGGAGAGGUUACAUCAGAUCAGUCUCAAAGCGUGUACCUGAAGUAGAAUAAAACGUAAGAGAGGAAGAGAAUCAAUAGCAGCAGACAGGCAGCCAAAAUAUCAACUCAAAAUAAGGUGUAUAGUCCAGCAAAUAACAUCAAAACUCAGGAAGCAAUUUGCAGAAUUUCAAAACCAGCACAUACACUCAAUAGAUCUGACUGAACCCUGAAUCUUAAGAACUAAAAAGAGCUUUCGAAUUCCAGAUGUAGUUUUGGAUCUAAAAUUCAAAUUUUAGCUUGUAGAGACUUGUGGUAUAUUUGGGGGGGGGUGGGGGGUGGGGGGGAUUUUCAGAUGCUGAAACUUGUGAAUUAAGGAAGUACCUACUGCUUUUUAUAGGCAAAGGUUGAGGGGGUUUUCUGAUUUUUGUUUUCUACCUUAGCCCCUCUUAUAUUUUUAGCGUUUUAACCAAUUAGUUCCUUAUUUACUGACUUGUGUCUCAAGUCACUACACUUAUUUUGUUAAUUUCAACUUUAAACCCCUUCUAGAAGGUCCUAAGGAAUUUCAGUAUCAAUUAUUAAAGAUUCUCUACCCUUGAAUUACCGCAAUUACCCCUGCUUUAUUCUGAGAUUUACUAACCUAGCCCUAACUGAACUCAGCCCCUUUACCUUAGUCAGAAUUUGCCUAUAGUCACUCAAAGAUUUGGAAUUAUUCAGCUAUAUCCAAACAACUAAUAAAAAUCCCAAUAACUGAACUAAGAAUUAACCCUAAUUAAUACUAGUAUUCUGAAGCUAAUUCUAUCACUAAAUUAAUGAAGCAGUAAAAUAUCAAUUAAAAAUAUUAAGAAUCAAGUAAACAAAACAGUAACACUAUGAUUAAUCAAAUCUAUUUUCUUACUCCUACAUUAAUAAACUAUGGGCAAACAUCAAUGAAACAGGAAUCCAAACACUAAGUCACACCAAAUCAAGGAGAAAAUUCUAAACCUAAUAAAGGAAAAUCUAAAAGACCUAAGAACAAAUUCUAUUAACAGACAUGACAGACUAGUAAUAUCAACAUAACAAAAUCAAGAAAUAGACAGAAUCGACUCCACUAAAUCCCCUAACUCAUAUACUGAAGAAACAAGGUAAACGAGGACUAAAAUAAGUAGAAGAAGAAACUUGC